Molecule: long non-coding RNA, 1236 nt
Filed under: Nicotiana tabacum (common tobacco)
Lineage: Eukaryota; Viridiplantae; Streptophyta; Magnoliopsida; Solanales; Solanaceae
Description: long non-coding RNA (NTAB_LNC015442)
Source: RNAcentral
AACAGCAACUCCAAUGUCAGAGAAGCUGUGUUUUACGAUAUGAACGUCAACAGAGAGAGAAAUCUGACGAAGUGAUUGAGGACAUACUGACUCAUCACCGUGACCCUGAAAGUAUUUACAGAGAGUGCCAGCAACGUUGUCAGAGACAAGAACAUGGACAGCAGAGACAGUGCCAACAACGUUGUGAGCAGGAGUAUCGGAGAGAACAAGAACAACAACAUCGUGGCCACCAGAGUGGAGAAGAUAAUCAAGGACGAGAAGGUAUGGUGUUUGUAGUUACUCAUCUAUUUUAUUUUACGCUGACAGAAUAGAAAAAGGGUUUAUUUAUCACGUUGCAUAUAUUAUUUAAAAGUAUUUUGACUUUUACUAUUGUUUACAUAAUUUUAAAUAUAAGAUUUAAAAUUUUAUUUUCAAACUCAACUGAAAAUAUAGUUAUUUUGAAUAUCGUACAUCGGACCAUGCCAUAUAAAGUGGCAUGGAGGGAAAAUAGUUAAUUAAUUUGGUUUUCGUUCUCCAAAGUCAUAUAAAGUGGUUCAUUACAGAGGUGUCAUUUAAUUUGUAAUAUACAGUACUGCCUCGGUGAACCUAUUUUUUUGUCUGUUUAAAAAAUAAUGAUUCUUUUUUAAAUUUGAAAACAACUUUAUUUAAAACUUAUAAUUCUAGCCUUAAUGAGAAAUUUUUUUAACCACACAAAUACCAUGAUUCUUUUUAAAUUGUUAAGAAUCACAAAUUUUAAUUUUUUUUUUUUUAACUUCGUACUCAGUCAAAUAAGUUCACAUAAAUUGAAACAGAGAAAGUAUUUAAUACCCGUAAUUGGUAAUAUAUGCAAUAACCAUGUAUAUUUCAUCGGUACAGUGUCAAAAUUAAGAAAUUUGGAUCUUGAAAAUCCCAAAGUAUCACAUAAAUUUGGGACAUAGGUUAAAAUUAAAUUUGGGCUAUAGGUCAAAAUAAAGAAGUUUGAAGUUUGAAUCUAAAAUUAAGAAGUAUCCCAUAAAUUUGGGACAAAGGAGUGUGUGUAUAUAUAUAUAUGUAUACAUAUAUGAAAUUCGGCCGUACAUCUAUGCUUUAUAGCAUUUCUUAAAUUCUGUUUUAUUCUAUUUCUUUCCUAGUAGGUCGUACGCAGCGUGAACCUGAGAGGAGAUUCAGAGAGUGCCAACAGAGAUGUCAACGACAAGAACAGGGCCAACAGCAGAGACAGUGCCAACAACGUUGUGAGCAAGAAUACAGGAGAGAGCA